CACGUAGGGUGCAAGCGUUGUCCGGAUUCAUUGGGCGUAAAGGGCUAGUAGGCGGCUUAGCAAGUCGGGUGUGAAAACUUCAGGCUCAACCUGGAGCGGCCAUCCGAUACUGCUAUGGCUAGAGUCCGGUAGGGGACCACGGAAUUCCUGGUGUAGCGGUGAAAUGCGCAGAUAUCAGGAAGAACACCCGUGGCGAAGGCGGCUCUCUGGGACGGUACUGACGCUGAGACGCGAAAGCGUGGGGAGCGAACAGG
This 254-nucleotide ribosomal RNA is filed under the name uncultured bacterium. Its description in RNAcentral is "partial 16S ribosomal RNA". It matches the Rfam family "Bacterial small subunit ribosomal RNA", at positions 524 to 776 of the family's 1533-position model. The record is from RNAcentral.